RNAcentral lists this long non-coding RNA (19070 nucleotides) under Gallus gallus (chicken). The record is from RNAcentral. Lineage: Eukaryota; Metazoa; Chordata; Aves; Galliformes; Phasianidae.
UUUCUAUCAUGAGUUUAAUAUUUUAAUCUUUCACUUCAGGAAGGCGACUGUUCUGAACAGAACAAAAGGGAGAAAUCUGGGAAAGUUUGCGUAGUUUUUGGGACGAAAGAGUGCCAGAGGGAAGGGAGAACAGAAGGUGGGGUGAGAAAUGGGGAAAUCAUGAUUUUAACAGGCAGAAAUAAAUACGUACUACGUUUGCCAGGAUAAAUAGUAAGAAUCUGAGUGAGAGAUCCCACCUAAUGGUGAUGGGAGGAAGUCAGUAGCUGCCACACUCCUUGGAGGUCAGACAUUAAUAGCCCACUAGUCUUCACCAUCCUAUUUUGUGAGAGAAUUAGUAUAUUCAUUGCUGUAUCUGUGCAAUCCCAGUGAAGCCAAAGUCUUUUUUUUUUUUUUUUUUUGGCUGAGAAAGCCGUCCUUUUAAAAUAUGUUUUACCAAUCAAAAUAUGAAGGAUUGCUUUGUUUAUGCAUUUAAUCCAGUCAUUGGAGAAAUUCUUCUAGCACUCUAUACGUUGUUAGCAUUUUAUUAAUGGUUGGCAAUGACAUAUGCAGGUAAUUCCAUAUGAAGAUUAAAUAAGAGACAAAGCUGGUAAGAAGUGAUUUAAAACUUGUACUUAAAGAUGUGGAUCUCAGAAAAGCAGGUGUUUGGGCAUGCUUAUUUUUCCAGCAAGGCUUGUCUGCCGCCCCCCUCCCUAAUUAUAUUAGUUGUCUUAACAGAAGUUAAAAUUUAUCUUGGAAGACUUUCUGAUUAUUGACCUAUUAUGGACUAAGGAUAUGGCCAAGCAUUAAGUAAAGCAAAAAUAAAAAAAUAUUGAACACACAGAGAAAGGCAUCUCUGAAUAAAUCCUUUAAUAGUUUCUAGAAUUGCCUUUAAUACAAGUGAUCAAGGACAUAACUGGCAAUGUAUUUAACAGCAAGCAUAGUCUCCUCACAGGUUGGCUUUAUCUGAGACUCGGGCAGAAGAAACCCAUAUUUACCAGUGUCACGGAGCUCAAAAGUGAAAGAGUACUUGAUGCCUUGAUCAUAAGCCCAGUCAUCAGAGCCUCCUGCAGCAGGGUCUGUUGAUAAAGAAAUAAAACAUGACUGAAACAGUGGAAACGACAAGCCACAGAACGGAAAUAUAGAACAAACAGUUAAAAAAGAGGAUAUAUAGUGAAUCAAUUGAUUUCUUCUUGUGGAAAGGCGUUUGUGACUUAUGCAAUUACUGAGAUCCAUUUCAGGUUGGCAUACUUAGGCCAAUACUUACAGACUGUUGCAGCUCCUGGGCCGUAUUCGUAGUUGGUGUUGUACAAACUGGUCAGUCGUUGGAUUGCAGCACUGGCAACGGUGUUCUGUAGGGAAAGGGCAAAUAUACGUGCAGAUUUCCAGAAUCAUUUUGGGUGAAUCUCAGCAAAUUUGUUGAGUAAACUGCAAAGUUGUGCUUGAGAAGGUAAACUGUUUUCCACCUCUCAGAAUGAUUAGAUGCAAGUAGUUGCCAGUACGUGACCUGUCAGUAAAAAGCUUGUUCUCCAGGCUUCAGUGGUGCAUAGUCUGCCUGUGUAGAGCUGCCUUGGUGUAUAGGCAGUGCAUAGUCCCAUAUAGUUUGGGGCAAUAGCAAACAGCAUUUUCCAUACUUAGAAGAAACCUGUACACUACUUAAAAUAAAUAAGGAAUCCCUGUGAAGAGUAAUAACUUGAUACAGUAGACUGGGAACACAAUAGCCUUCCUUUUCUUUCUGUUUAUGCAGCAUAUAAAUUCAGAGUAGUACCAGUUUAGUCGGCGGAGUUGGACACCACUGGAAGUGGAAGCAGUAUAAUAAAUGUUAACAGACAGAAAAGGCAUAAAUUACCUCGGAACCAUAUGUAGUCUCAUUAAUUUCAUUUCAUUUCCUGUGCUCAGAGGGACUCGUUCAGCUCCCACUGAUUUCAGUGAGGGCUGGAUCGGGCCCAUCAGUACUACCGUGAAGCUUUGUAUGUUUGCAUUGAGGAAAAUUACAGACUUCGGAAUGUGUGGCUUUUCCACUACUUCAUUAUAUGGCAUGUUGGUAAUAAAACAUGAGAACUAUUACUAACAGAUGAUGAAUGUGAACGAUUUUUGAAAGCAGAUGUUCAGUAUAAGAGUAAAUGAUGGGUUGCCUUAUCUUUGUUUAUGGCUUACAGCUGAACAGUUCACUAUCCCAAGAAUUUCCUCAGGCCCCUUCUUUCUCUAUAGGUUGUACUCUGGCUUAUUUCCCAGAGGAAGGGAGAUUGUGAAAUAUUCUGUUUACCCUUGUGCUUUAAGUGUGUCUGUGAAUCACUAAAAAAUGCAUAUUGGACCACGUGUUUUGAAAAAGGUUAGUGAGAGAGCUUCUGCAAAACAGCAUCAAAAUAUGUUUGCAUAUCAUGCAUAUGUGUUUUUUUUCAGCCUUUUUUUUUUUUAAUAAUAUAUACAUUUAAUCAGAAGCUGAGAUUGAGUCAAAUCUGUUAACAGUAAAUUCAUUACUAAAUAUACAGAUUCUCCCUCUUUUCAAAAAUAUGCAAAGAGGAAACUAAAUUUGGGAAGAUUAAUUUUGCACUACUUAUGGACCUGUUGGUUAUUAAUAUUUGAUCUCUCUUCAGUGAACUUCAUUGUAGAGACAACAGAACAGCAAAGCUUCCUUUAGGGAAGAGUGGGGCAUGCCUUUCUCCCUGCCAAAAUGCCUGCUUCAAAUCAUUUCAGAACAGGCAGAAGAAAAAGGAUGUCUGGAAGUGUAUUUACCUGGGGUGUAUUAUGUUAUUGGCCAGAAAGUUAUGAGAAGGAUUUGUAGGAAAAGAAGUUGAGAUUUCCAGCUGUAAGAAGACCGGAAUCCAAAUAUACAACUUCCUCAAGUUCUGCAGCUUGGAGAUUGAUGUGAUAUUUAAAUGACCUUCUCCAUUAACUGAGCAACAUGACCGAGCAUUUAUGACUUCAUCUUGAAAUGAACAUUUAUCAAAAGGUUUGAAAUCUGAUUUUUUUUUUUCUUUAUUAAGUGACUCUCUCCCAGUUGCUUUCCUAAUGGAUUUACAGUACAACAUCUGAAGGUCAAAACAAAAUUUCAACUUCUUAGGAGCUAAAGUCACCUCUUUCUCAUGAUAUGAAAAUGAAGAACAGUAAGAAUGAAAUAAAUGCUUGUGCGUCCAACACAACAUUUUUCUAAAGGGGUUGUGAUAUUUAGCUUUUAAAAAACAGUUUGGAUUUCCAUGCCUGUAUGCUAUUUGGAAUCCAGCAGCCAGGAGAGGCAUGGUUAUCUCAUUGACCUUAGAGGAUACUCUUUGCCGUUGACCGAUUUUCAAGAUUUCUUUGUUUAACUGGCUUAACUCAAUUGCUGUGAUUUCUUUGUUUGUUUUUAACCAUCAAAAAUCUCUCUGUUGCGAGGAAAACUGCUCAGAGACAUAGCAGCAGAGAAGCAAGUGGCGCCCUGAAGUCCUAGGAAUAACUCCUGAUUAAUACCUUGUAACUGGGAGCAGAAAUGGCUUUUCAGAUUCUGACUCAGCUGAACUCGCAGAGCAGGUCAUUUCAGCAGAAGGUGUAUUCCCUGCACUAAUCAUCCAUCUGCGUUUACACAACCAUUACUAAUAUUCUGCCUAAUCUUGUGUGCGGAGUGCAUAGGCCAGUGAGACAGCAGAGUUGUGUUCUCAGUUGCCAUUAUCUUACAUAAUUUACAACCUUUAAACCUAUCUUUACUAUUAUUAGCGUUUAAUGAAGGGUAUGUCUAACUGGCCACCCUUUCUAUAGCAUCUGGAGCUUUGAGCUAACAAAAUAAUUUACCAGGAGAAGCAUCUUCUGCCUGUUAAUAGGUAAUUUUUGGGGGGCAGCUCCCUCAUUUCAUUCUUCUAUUGUCAGGGCAGAUUUACCAGCAACCUGUGGCUGUUUAGAAACACUUCAGGGAUAUUGAUUACACAGCUGCUGCAUGCAGACAACUCCCUUUGCCAUCAUAAUCUGGAGACACCUGUUCUCUGACUGACUGGACCAGACUCUUCUCUCACUGCACUGCAAAUUGAUUUGCCUGAGAAUGAAAGCCGUAUUCUCCUUCCACUUCUGUCUCAUGUACUAUUUAAGCUUCCUUUGUAAUGGAAGUAUGAAGGGUGCUAUUUGCAAAGUUAGCUGUAGCUGAAUGAAGCUGCAUUUCCGAGGCUUCUUGUUUUGGCAGUAAAACCAGACUCCCCUCAGGAGUCCGUGGCUGAUGUGUAAUUUAGUGCACUGUUUUGUUGUUGCUCAUGGUUAAGCAUCUCCCCCAAGAGCCCAGGGAAUCCAGCCAAGUGGAAGACUUCAGAAUGAUGCUCUUUUUCCUUUGCAAGCCAGUUUCUCUAAGGCAGUCUUACAGACUGCAUAAGAAACUAAUCCCUGGUGAGAGGGUUUCCAGUGUGACUGUAUUAAGGUGAAUGUGCCCUACCUGGGAGGAUGUGGGACUUGACUUUGAGCCAAGCUCACACAUAAGCCUCAUCUGUACAAAGCUACUACUGUAAGCAUCCUUCUCAGAGUAGUGACACUACCAGUACAGAGCAGGUCUGUUUUGACAAACUCAGUGCAGGAGCUUCCAAAUAUUGCUUUUCUGGCUGCUUCCAUUUGCUAUGCUUCCCAGUUUCUCUGCCAAAUAUUUACUUGUAACAACAGUCCAAUCUAAGGAGUUUUUAACAGUACAGAUACAAUAGUAUAGGCUGUGACUCCUCUUUACUAUGUCUGAGUCCUUUAGAAAAUAGGAUUUUUCUUGUUCAAAAAUUUGUAACUACAAGUAUUCCUACAUCUCAAACACAUUCUGGAAUUAAAUCAGGGAUGAAGAGACUUUGCUCCCAGGCAUCAGGUUAAAUAAUCAGACUAAUAGUAUUCACCAAGUCAUGAAACAUAUUUGAAAUUCACUCUCCUUGCAGAUUGCACAGACUCUGUGCCUAUCUCUGCUUUCUACUUUCUUCUAUUUUAAGGGCUCAAAAGCUACGAGAAAUGAAAUAGUAGACCAACCCAACGUAGAAGAUGAAUUUCAGUGAGCUUAAACAACAAAAGAAGUGGAAAUCUUGUGUCUAGAGAAUUAUCUUCAGCUGUGAAUUAAUACAAUAUUUCAUAGCCUACCAAACAGGAAUAAUACAAAUACACUAAUCUAACAUGCAGACAUGAAUUUGGUGCUGAGUUUGUUCAGCUAAGAGAUGGAAUUGAACCUAGAAAGGAAGAGAGAGCACAAUGGACAUUCCUCCGCUCUAUCAGUUCAGAACCAAUUCAAAUACAAACAAGAAUUGACAGAGAUAGAUAUGUCUUUGCUGAAAAUGAGGAAAGCAUAGGAUGACCUAGCAGGAAAGUAAGAUAAAAGCCUGACCUGAUUAAAACAUAUGGGUCAAAUGGUUUAUGCCGAGUGUGAUUAAAUACAGAGGCCUGUACUGCAAGAAGACAAAAAUGUGAAUAGUAAAAUGAAGAUAAAAAGAAUCUUUUUGGGGUGGGGAGAGAUACUGGUCUUGCCAAGCACAUGUUUUAAUUGUGAACAGCUAAUGCUUCUGUUCUCAGUAGGCGAUGGAUUCAAGUGUGUAUUCUGUGUGCAAUGUAGCUCUCAAGGGUAUAGUAAAUAAUGAGCCAAGUGAGGAUUAUGAGGCAGGCAAAAUGUGAUCCACCAAAAAAGAGUACAUUUUUCUUUCAAGGAGUCAUCUCCAGAAUAUUGUGCAACUUCUGAGAAAUUUCUGACCUAGAUUUUCCUGUUUUGGGUGUUUUUAUUUGUUCAUGUAUUGUUUGGAUAACAGUGAAAGUUCUGUGCAGCAUCUCGGAAGUGAGAAAAACAAACAAAUAAAUUAUCCUAUCCUGAAUGCAGGGAGAAAAAUUUGGGGAGAAUUCUUGUGUUCUGUGCAAUUGAGUUCCUCUUGCCUCUGAGGAAAAGGAUGGGAAGUUGUGGGAAGUAAGAGCCAUGUAUGACUUUUAUCUUCUGUCAUACUGCAUAGUCCUGGGGUGGCUGGGGAUAGCCCUAAUCCCCUACUCAAACCAAGUUACCAUAAUGUGAGGUUGCUAUGAUUAACUAUAGCAGUGAAGGAUGAAGCAUAAAGGUUGCUGGAACUCCCAGGGUGCCCUGUUUUACCUGAGAAACCAAAACCAGAACAGUUUUUUUGUCUUCUGUUGAUUUCUUGAGGCUGUGAGCAAAAGAAAAUGUCUUUCAAGCCCCAAGGACACUGCUCAGUGUUCUUGCAGGAAAGGAAAGUACAAGCUUUCUCUAGAUCUUUCUUUUCUGCAAACCUACUGAUUUCAAUCUCAAAUUACUCAAUUUUUGUAUCCUUAUGCGUCUCAGACACUGGAAUGUGGCACAGACGGCAGUGUAUUAUGCUACCUUUAAUUAAAUAUAAUGGAACAAAAUAUUAUUAAUGAUAAGCAGACAUGAAAUUUUGUUUAACCACAUGUUGAGCUGCUCACUGGAAGAGAUAAGAAAUUGCAGCUAUAUUUCCUUUAAUUUAUUAGAUCUGUCAGAGUAAAAAUAACAUCCAAGAUAAGAUAAUGGCACUAUAAAUUUUGCUCCAUUUGAAAAGUGAUUUAUGGUCCUCUAACUCACCCAAACAAUCUCUAUGAAAGGUUGAGAUUCUAAUUUUUCGCCAUUUCUCUAAAUUCUAAAUCUGGAUGGAACUUUUUGUCAUGGAAUAAUGACUGGCAUAAACCACAGUGUCUCUUUUUCUAAGUGUAUCACUUUAAGCAAAUACAGCUAUUGAUGGAAAAUCUUAAAUUUCUUUAGUUACAGCUCAAAUGAAUGUGCUUUAGUUAUCUCAAGUAGCCUGAAAAGCCGCACCUUUGAACUUGACCCAGAGCCUGUGAAAGUCAGUCUAUUUAAUUCAUUGGUGUUGGAGUGAAUUGGGCCUUUUCUGUUUAAUUACCCCGGCUAUAGGCAAUUUUGAUUGGAUGAUACUCUGAUCUCAUUCUCUGAAAGAAGGAUUUUUGGCAAGAAGACUUCCCUUGUUAAAGUCAGGUACUGCUCAUGUAGAACAUCUCUGGGAUCCUGCUGUCUUUUUGUUGGGAUCACCAGUGAAAGAAGUAUUUUCCCUUAAUUAACACAUGAAAACCACUCAUCGGGUCACCUUGUCAUUGGUGGUGAGGUUUGUAAUUGCUUUGUAUUGGAAAAUAAUAGAACUCCCUCUGGGAUCAUUGUACCCAAUUUAAAAUGUAGGAUAAAAUGACUGUGAAAAGACUAACUUAGGAAGUGAAAUCAAAUAGGUGAAAAGAAGUAUAUAGGUUGUGUUCCUGAGCUAUUUAUUUCUUAUGCUGAAUAGUAAUAGUAGACUUGUUCUCCGUGGCAGGAAGACUUUUAUUAAUUAAAUGCUGGAGAACCGUAGUAAGAGUAAUUCAUUAAAUUAUAUUAUAUUUUGGGAUAUAUUUCUAAUCAUAAAAGUUUAAUUUGAUAAAAGAAAGUGAAAACCAAGAAAAUAACAAGUUAUUUCUUAUUUCUAAAGAUUGUUUUAAUGGAUAGGAUUUCCUGUAUUUUUUUGAUACUAGGGCGUUGGUGUAAACUUUCUCAGCUUAAUCUGUGAGAAGCAUGCUGGGGUUUUAGUUAAGUUUCACAUUUGCUUUUGAUUCAAAAAGUUGAGCGAAAUGUCGUGCAACUUUUUAACACGUGUGAACUUUGUGAUCUUGACAACGAAGCAGCUCAAGGGCUUUGUGCUGUUUAUUGCCUGAGACUGAACUGCGAUGUGUGAAAUGUGAAAAAAUGUGUAAACUGAAGACAAGAAAUUACUAUAGUUCCAUGGAAUAAUUAAAAUCAAAGCUUUCUGGAAAAUAAAUUAAGAAAGCAAAAUUUUCUUCUGGAUUUUAUCCGCUCUUUUAAACUGUAAAAUAUGCUGCAGGAAAGUUCGCUGUUGGCCCGAGUUCUUGUUUGUGCUUUGGAAUUGUGACAUCUAUUUGGGAGCACUCAUAAAUCUGUCAAGUCCCCCCAGCAGACCAGCACACUUAGUGUUGUUGCCUUGGACUUUUGGCAGCAUCCAGAAAAGAGAGGGAAUCAAGAUUUGUUUGUUUUGUUUUGUUCUGUUGUUUUCCCUGCCAACAGCUUCUAAUUGCUAAUAUGCCAGAGAACUGAAGUAAUUUUAUUAUUCAUGAUAGCUGAUUCUUGGCCUUAUGAAAUGUUUACCACUUUUAUGCGCACUUAAUAUUUUUAACUUUUUUUUUUUUUUUAAUUCCAGGCUGUUAUUCAAAUGGUGUUAAGGUGUGACCUUCAUUUUGGAUGAAUAAAAGAGGAGUUGUUAUUUAAAGCAUGACAUUUACCUUCUUCUCUUCUGAGUAAGAGGUGUAUGUGAAUCAAGGCCUGUUCAUAAAGGUCCCAGAACUGAUUGUUUUCACCUGUUUUGUGCCUGUUUUUAAUUAUAAUUAUAGUUCAAUAUAUAAAUAUAUAGUAAUUAAUACUAUAUAUUAUAUUUAUUAUCAACAAAAACUGCCCCAUUGUCCUCAACCUGUAUCGUUCUCUUUAAUAGGAGUCUCACCUAUUCUCUCACCUCCUUCAGUGAGAAGUAAAGUUUGGUAUGAAGUGUUAGGCAGAGUUCCUUAUUUGCUGGUACUGGUACCAGUUCAGUCAUUUCUGGGUAGUUAUUACAAUCUAGCAAGCUGUUAGCAUGGUUUGCAGAGCAUAAUGUUUCUGUGUGAUGUUCUGCAGCCACACACACUGCAAACUCCUGCAUCAGGAAGAAACAGUGCUGCAUGACAUAGUGAAUUUCUCUAUGGCAUGACUGGAAGUCAAUCCUGACCUUGUGGCAAAUUCAUUGUGUGUAUUGGAAUUAAGUAAGGCUCUUGAGUUUAUCUUGUUCCUGAACUAUGUGGAAGCCAUUGCGGUUUCUCUGUUUUUUGAGGUAUUUUCAAAAACUGGCAACAUAACAGAUUUAUUCAUAGUUAAAGAAGCUGCCUGAAGUUAAAUAGAUCUACAUAGUGCUCUUUCAUUAUAUCAAAAGCAUUCUUUUCAUUACAUCAAAAUGACAAAGAACUUGUGCUUACCAGUUCGUUGUAAUCCUUUGCAAGUUUAUAAGUGUACGAAUAAGGAAACACUAGCAGCUGGGAAUAGGAGUGCACAGUCAGAUAUGCCUUGAUUGUAGAGAGAUUUUCACGAAUAAAAUCAGCCAAAGCCUUACUCUCCUUUUCAGACUCAGGUGCAGAGCCACAGUAAGUGGAAGCGCAGGGUCUAUCUGAGGCCCCCAGUUCUGGGAAGAACAGUGAACAUAAUGAAUAUUUAAUAAAAAAGUUGGUUGUUAGGAGAAGGUAAUUAUGUGAAUUUCGUAAUAAAUCUUGGAAAUCCUACUGCCACACCUGUACUGUAUUGGAAGAGAGAGUCCUUUGUUGCAUAGUUAAGAUGCUGGGCGGUAUGACACAGUGUUAAGUAAAUAUGCACUGAACUUGUAUGCAUGUUUGGAGGGACAUGAGCUUUUUUGCAAAGCCCUAUAUUAUCUAAAUGACUAUUAUUUGCUUCCUUACUUAAAUGUCUUCUCCUUGCACAUCUCCCCCAUGUCUGAGAUGCUUUCAGGAACAAGCAAAAAGGGUACCCCUCUGCAGUGAGUGAAAGCAACUGAAAGAAAGCUAUUUUGACUUCUCUUCUGAAGUCCACUGUUCAUACAAGUAGCCGUACGGAUGAAACUAGUAACUAAAGUUUGGUUUUUGCAUAAAAUUUGAACACAAGCUAUUCCACAAUGCCAUUGCCACAGCUAUUAUUAGGAGAUACUUACCACACCAGCCAGCAUUGAAAUUCCUGUUGAGAUCGGUACCAAUGCAAGAGCUGCCUGUGUUUUUAGAGCGUGUCUUUCUCCACAUACGGUCCUAAAAUAGAAUGGUGAAGCUUAGAGUAAGAAAGAGUUCUUACAGUUGGCUUAACCAGCAAUGUUUUUGAGAAAGAGGAACAUACUUACUUUUGUCCAACUGUAAACGUAACCAUCAAUAUUAACAACUGGCAAAACAUAGAAGUCCAAGCUGUUGAGAAGUUUGGUCAUGGUACUAUCUGUUCCGUAGGUCUCAACAGCCUAAUCAGAGAAAAGUAGACAGAGCUGAUGAUGCUUUUAUGGAAUGAAAACAUCUCCAGCAUAUAUUUGAAGGCCUGGAUCUAGAAAAUGAAUUACUGGAUGUGGACAGUGAAGUCAUCCAGGUCACUGCACCACAUGAGGUGGUAGCUCUAAUGUUAUAUAUGCUCAGAAGACUUACAGUGACUGAAACCACGUUGCUGUUAGAGAGUCAUCUUCUUCUGGUAGAUAAAUUAUAUUUUAAAGCAAUGUUGAUUUUGAACAGGAUAAUAAAGAGAAGGUUUCCAUCUUCUAGCUUAUCAUUGAAAGACAGAAGAAAGUUCUGGUCCAUAUAUUCUCCCUAUAUCCUGUCACCUUAAACACUUGUUUUUUGUUUAAAUUGAUUGUAAAUUUUGAAUCUCUAUUCCUGUUUUUGAUACCUGUUGUGCGGAUAAACUUCAUCACUAACCAAAACUACAGAGAAUGUUUCUGUCAUUACAUCCUUAGACAUUUCCAGUCAUAAUGCUUUGGUUGCACAUAUUCAUAGAGAGGUGGAUUUUUCCAUGCAGUUUUCCUGGUAUGUACAUCAUAAGAACUUCUGCCAGAAACCUACAUAUCCUGAUUGUUUAUGACCUACCACUUUGUAUGCUUGUUCAGAGAUUUAACUCAGUCUUGUGUGAGCAUCCAAUUAUAACUGACGUUUGCUCUGAAGGCCUGGUUGCAUCCUUGUUUCCUUUAUUUUACAAAGAUGUAUAGUGCAACACAAGGAGUGAUGCAGUAGAAAAAGAUAUCUACUGUCCUGUAGCUAGCAAGUGGACAGGUUGGAUGUAGAAUCUGGAAAAGCAAUUUUAGGUCACUAGAACUUACUUUUUUCCUGUGGUUUUUGUUUAUUUCUUCAGGUGUUCUUUUUUUGUUUGUUUGUUUGCUUGUUUGUUUGCAGAUACAAAUAAUGAUCUACUUUAUGUUUUUUUCCUGUACUUUUUGACUUUUAUGUCUAGAAGCAAUCCCAGCUGAACCACCAAUGACUCUCAGAGGACUGCACUUUAAAGUUUCUUCUACCAAUCCACACUUUCAUUCACUGAGCAGAGCCACUGCGGGUGUCAGGUACAUCCAUAAAUUAAAUGAUCAGACAGUGGAAAUGACAGCCGUAGUGACGUGAAUUGCUGAGAGAAAAAUGGUAGCGCAUACUGUCUGCAGCCUUAUUGGGAGAUAAUGAAAUAAUAUUCCCUUUGACUCCACUGAGAUGUCACUUUCAAUUUCCACUGCUCCUUACACAAAACCGCAUGGCUGUCUGAGAAGAUAGAGGUUAUACUCGCCACCAAUGCCGCUGCAAGCAUACCUCAUACACAUGCUUAGGUAGUCUUAAGCUGCUCAGAGAUUACAGGGCAGCCAUUAAGAUCUAGUGUAAGUGGUAGAAAGAAAAGUAAUUGUGUUUUGUAAAACAAGUUUUGAUCAUUAUGCUUACUUCUUUCACAAACCACUGGCAGAAAGCAGGGGAGAUCCACUCUCUUGCAUGAAAACCACAGUCCAUGAAGAUGGCCUUCUUAUUCGUACCGCUUUUUCCCAACUACAAAAACAAAUAAAUAAAAAAACAAAGCCAGGUUCUGAAUGAAACAAUUUGUAUGCAGAAUAUGUCUGUCAGCUCGUUGACCUGAAGAGUAAAACUUUAUAAAUAUAAUAUUCGCUGAUUAAAUGGAAAACUAGGGAGUCGCACAGCUGUAGUUGACAAUGAUAUUCAAUCUAAAACCUUAUAAUCUUAGUAAUUUCAUUUUUAUUAAUGUAGGUAACUCUCUCCUCCACCACAAUAAUAGAUCGUUCUGCACUGUUGAUAUAUUCCCUGUGGUGUUUCUAGUAGUUAGCUUUGUUUGGAUAGGUGAUAGAUGCUUAUGCAAUUUUAGGCAAGUAACCUUUAUCCUCUCACCUUUAAUUCAUUAAUGGUAUCUUAUUUACUCAUAAGAGUUAUUCAGAAAGCCUGUAUCUGAUGAAGAAACAAACAUAUUGCCUUUUGCUAGGGAGACUGACAUUUAUAGAUCCUUUUAGAGUAAUUGUGCUUACAGGUGGAGAGAAUAUAAAGGUAGGUGAUAAUUCACGUGGCUCACAGGUUUGUUGUUAAAUUUAUGUCUGAACUUCUAAUAAUUCAUUAUGCCCCUUAAACCUUAAGGUAAAAAAGAUCAUAGUAUAAAUAGUGCAAAAAGUCUAUUUGAUUUAUUUCAAAAUGUAUAUUAAUAUCUUAGCAUCAUCGCUCAGUAGGCAUCAUAGUCUCACAGAGAUAAUAGCAGAAGAACAGUUUGGCACAAAUGAAUCACUGCACUUACUUUGAGAAGGUACAGUGGCUGUCCUUCGUAUGUUUCCCCAAUUACACUGCGAGAGACCAGGGUUGGAUUCUCAGCAGCAAUGUCAGCAGUCCAAGCAGCUAUCUGUUUAAUAAGGAGAAUAAAGAUGUUGAUGUGUUUGUCCUCAGGUCCAGAAUAAUUUAUUCACAGCUUUCAAGCUGGAAGGGUCCUUCUGAGAAUUGAACCAAAUAUUUGAUACCAUUGAUAGAUUCCCAAGAAUUAACUCUUGCUUAUGCUAGCACUAUAUAUCUAAUCUUGGGAGUUUUUUGUUGGUGGUGGCGUUUUUUGUUUUUUUUUUUUCUUCCAGUGAUAGAUAGUGGUUCAUUGCAGACCUCAUCAAACUAUUGCUGAGCUAGGAUUUUCUGAUACAAAUUUAUCUAAAACUUCCAAUCAUUGGAGUUUGGCUGGUGAGUCAAGAAACUUUUUGAAUGCUAACCCUACAGAGUGCUUAGAGAUUAUGAUUUUGUCAUUCUUUUAAAAAAGGAAAACUUUUUUCCUUUUACGACAAGGAGAUUGAAUGCCUUAAAUCUUCUUCAUGUUUUUCAGUUUCAUAGCUUUUCUAUUUAUUAUCAUUCUUGAACUGUUUACAGAAGCACUGGGCAGGGAUUUGUGGGAACAGUCCACCAAAGUCAAAUACAAAAGAAAUAAAUAUGUGUAGGCAGAUGGGUUAUGCAGAUUAUCUCUGUAAUGAGCAGUGAAGGAAAGAUUUUAGAGAGGAGGUUAUCAAAUAACCUGUUACGGAUGCAACAGAAGGGAAGAAGGGAAUAUUGACGAAAGAAUAUCAGAAGCCAUUUUGACUAUGGAGGUUAAGACAUCAAGUUGAUAAAGUGGAAAACUUUCGGACUUUACCGUAUCCCAGGUGUUGUAUUUUUCAUAGCUGUGACCAGUGCCACGGACUUUGCUGUCAAACUGAGCAUGCAGCGCAGUCUGCAGGUUGUCUAUCAGAACACUGCAAUACCAUGAAAAGCAGAAAGAAACGUACAAUUUAUUAGCAGAAGAUCAAGCACCACGUGGAUAUCUUUGGAUUUGCACAGAACUAAGGCCAUGUUGAUUGUGAAGAGAAAUGUGGGGAGCUGGCUUAUGCAUUUGAAAAUAAUAUAGGUUAUGUUCAAGUUUCAAUCUCCUUCCUGCCUCAUCCUUGCUGACAGAAUGAUCACAAAGCAAUAGCUUCUUAACUCACACCUGCCCACUUAACUCCCAUACUAGCAAACUUCCGGAGUGGCAACAGUUUGCUUUAGGAAGAAUGGCAGUGCUGAAACAGGGUGCAUGUAAACUAUUAGUUCUGUAUUCAAGAGCAACUCUGCUUUGCCUUGGACUGACCUCGUGAUGCAAGAUUGCCUCUUCCUCAAAAGGAAAAGGGCAUUCUCUUGAACUGAUGAUGCUGAAGGACAAUUAGACUGCAGUAACGUAACACCCUCCUGUUAUCCAGUAUCUCUAGUAACCCAGAGAUGUUUGCGUGAUUAAAUUCUUUAUCAAGCCAAGCUUCCAAAGUUUAGGUGCAGUUUACAGAUGACAGGAUCCAUGCUCCAAUCUGUCUUUCUGCUUGUGAGAAGAGCUAUUAAAGUAGCAACACACUGUGGCAAAAAAUAAACCGACAAAAACAACAAUAAAAAACAACAACAGAAAAAACCACCCUAAUAUCCUGUCUGCAUUGGCUGAAUCUCUCCUAUUUAUCUUUCCCUGAGGCUGAUAGAAAGGCACAGCUCAUCAUCAAGCAUGGUCUUGAGGUCCUUUUGUUUACAUUUCAACCUUGGCUAUAAAAAAAAUGAUGUUUCCUUGUUUUUUCCAGUGCUUGUCUUAACAUCCUUACAAAUUCUCACUUGUUCAGGAUAUGUCCUCAAUCAUUUGGAUAGAAGAGCAGGAGGCCACUUUGUGAGGCACCACCAGCCUUCAGAACAAACAGUGCAAAUGAGUACGUUGACAUGAUGUCACGGCACUGCAGCUCCACUUCAAAAGAAUUUUAACGGCUUGGGUUGUCACAAGGACACUCCACUGAAGUUUGUCAGGGACACCUUCCAGACCUUUGUUGCCUUUGUUGCAAUCAAAAGAUUUGUGCAUGGACUUGAGGGAGUUCAUAAAUAUCCUAGGGAAAACUAGCACAUGUAACUCUUCCUUUGCCAAAGAAGAAAUUCCAGUGAAACUGGAUUCUUGUGCUGUACGUGGGCUGAGGUACUACUGAGAACAAUCUCUUUUAGAGUAUUUUUAACUCUGUUCCCUCCCGUGGCAUCCAAAUGGGACACAGUUAACCUGUGGAUGGCAAGUUUAGGGAGAGAGAAUCCUCAGAUGUAGCAGAUCAUAACAGCAGUGUUUCAUGAGAACUCCAACAAAGGAGUUUGAUCUGGUGGAAGCAAAUCUGAGUGAUGAAAACUCUCCACUCUGCUGAAUGAAGUCAUGAGAGUUUGAUCAAGUAAAGCUGAGUUUUAUGUCUGCAUUUAUGCAUACACUACACAUUGAAAAAGCCUGUUAAUCAAGCUGGACCAAGGAGGAUGCAAUGGAGGAUGUUUGUGACAAAUAGAUAAAUCAAUCAAUGAUGAAAAUCUUCAACAUAUUUUCUCCAGUAUUCGGUCUCCUCCUACUCAAAACUUACUUGAAAUCCAUUUUGUUUUCUUUCAAGAGAUGUUCAACCUCCAAAGUCUUGUCAGCUUCAACUCGGAAAUCAACUUGUCUUUUUGGCUUUACCAUUUUCACGGAGUCUGGCUGCCAAAAGUCAAGCUGAAAGAAAGCCAAAUGAAUAUAUGAACAAAUACAUAUAUACAUAUGACUGUGUUUUAAGUGAGAGCAUGUGUGAUAUAGUGAUGCUGAUUGUGAUUAAUGCAACAAAUUUCAUUCCAGUGUUACACUGAACUGAUCUUGCUUGCCAGAAAAACUGACUUAAGUUUUAAAUGGAAUUCAAUGAAGAUGAUUUCAUUAGACCCUCAAACUUAUGUGGAAGAUUUCUGAAGAUGACAGUAACAGUUGAACAAAUGCCAAGUAUUAACUCAGUUUUUGAGUACAUUUUUGACUUAUUAAAUUAUAUUACUUAAUAGGGACUGCACUAGUCUUGAACAGCACUAAAAUCAAUGCUUGGUAUUUUUUCUUUCCAAAACUGAAAAAGGAUAAAGACAAGUAUCACCCUAAAUCAAAUGACAGGUAGCCCUUAUAUCCAUAAGAAUAUUCUGAACUUCAUUUAAAAGAAUCUAAUGUAAAAGAUACUGGAGUUUUGGAACAUAAGGAAUAUUGUCUGCUCUGAACAUCCUGUACAAUUUUUACAGCAUCUGAACGCAUACAGAUUUGUGAAUGCUGUGCAAAAUUUGUAACUCUUUAUAACUUUUUCAUUCUUGUACAUAUUUCAUUGGAGAUUUUUGGCUAUAACUAUUAAACAGAAAUGGUCUCCUGACUAUAGCGAGCUACAAACAUACUUUACAUACAUCAGCUGCAAAGGACUGUUGCAUUUAUAAGUGUCUUUAAGACUCAUUUUGCUGCAGUUUGUAGGAGGAGCCUAUAACUUUGGAAGAUAUUGUUUAACUCAUAAUGGACAAAUGACGGUGCAAUUACUACUUCACAUAUUCCUUCUGAAGUCUGCCUUAAGAUCUCUUUUGGGUUUAGAAUCCUGUUAAAGGUCAGUGAAAACAAAGCUGGUUUACCAGCCUAGUGCCUUUUCAGCCUUUCAUGUCCUGAACAUAAAGGAAAUUGGGCUCGUGGGCACGUUCAUAAAUGAUGUAUCUUCAAGUGAGAUGACUAUUCCAGUGUAUACUGCUACCACAUGAGUCCUGGCAGAUUGCUUUGUAUAACAAUGAUAGUUCAGAGAUCUUUUCUUUACUUUAAAGAAAACAAGCAAUCCCUUUAUCCUGCAGGCUUAGAAGCAAACUUGUUAUAUUCACCUUCAUAGAACUAGCAGCAACAUACCAGUAGUAUAUUCUUUCUGUAGAAUACUGUUUCAGCAUACUGUACUAUCCUGCUGCUGCUACUUCUCCACAUCUGUACUUCAUUAAAAAUACCAUCCUUUUAUCCUACAGAUAAUGGUGUCUUUUUCACCAACAGCUAUUUUACAACAUCAAAGCUGAAGAGAAAUAUUGAAAACACAUUUGCUGUCUGUAUUGUUCUUUCUCAUGUCAUUAUGUCAUCAUAUAUCUACAUCAAGGUCAGUAAGAAACAUGCAGCUUGACUGAAGAAUGAAAAUUUUAAAGGAAAGUCAGAGACAAAAGGUGAUGAGAGGUUAGAGGCCAAAACAAAUUUCAGGUUGUUAUGAACAUGAAUUUUUAGAUUAUUUGCAUGAACAAAAUCUUUUACCUAUAACAUUAAACGUUCUGGUACUUGGAAAUGUCGUGUUUUGUCUAAUUCUUGAAGGCACUCCACAAUGAAUAUAUAAUUUAAAAGUAACAAUAAAUUACGGUGGAUACUUUCAUGCUCAGGCUGGGGUAUCUCGACUUUUCAGGAAGGCAUUAGCUCGUAUUUAUGUAAUUCCAGCUUUAUCACCUUGUCCUCUUCCCUCUGAAGAAGCACUCCUGAUGAGUUGGCUGGAGUCAGGAUUAGAACUUUAAUUUAGAAUCUUGUUGUUGUUUUUGGGUGAGAUACAUUAGUUGAGGAAAAGGAGAAAUGUUCCCUUUGGACUCAAAAAGCUCCUUCCCCAAGUUCUUUACCUUCAUUUUGCUGGCAAGAGAGCGGAUGAUUUCCACCUGCUCAUUGUCCUGGGGAAUCACACGAAACACCUUGUGGCUGAAAGAAGAGAGAAAUUGGAUUUUAAAAAGAUAAGUCAACUGGAAGACUUCUGCUCAUGGAGAAGAAAUCAUGAAAAUAUAAAGCUGAUGUCUGUACGUACCCAUCAAAAGUCUGAUCUUGCAGGUGAGCAGAAGCAACUGCAGCACCUACGAGAACUAAGAACGCCCACAUUUUUUAAAAGAAGCAAGCAGGUGUUCAGUUCUUCUGGGCUGCUUUUAUAGUCUGUUUUGUGCUUUUUUUUAUCAAAUAUGCACCAGAACAACCCACUGAUCAGCUGACACAUUAUCCCUUUGGCCUUGCUUGGUUUGCAUAUUAGUUAUAAUGUGUGCUUUACUCCACACCUGUGAAAACAGCGGAAAGUCUCAAGGGUGGUAGUAGCAGUCGGUGCUGAGGAAUUUCACUGCUAGAGCAGGGUGAGCUUGUUAGGUGAGAAACUGAGUUUAAUCCAUUUUGUUCUUUUUUAGUGUUGUUUUUGUGUGUGUGAAUUUUGAUGAAAAAAAUGUAAUCAUUUUCUUCAAUUGUUUGGUUGGUGGAUUACAAACUUUAUAAUACUUAAUUGUCACCUUAUGUAAUGGCUGAUGACUUUCAGAUGUUGCAGCAGUGUGACCAGUCUUCUUAAUCACACAGUACUCUCUCUUUUCCUGAAUGGUCUGUGUCUGACUGUGACAGAGUCAGAGUGUCUGAAGAGGAAACACAGUUUGGAUGUAUGAAUUCCCAAUCUUUUCCCAGUAGGGAGGAAAGGUACUGAACUUGUUCAUUGCUUCAGUUGUCUCACUUGAAAGGAAUCAGAUGUCUGCAGAACUGAAGGUGUAGAUAUUUCUAGUCACAGUAGAGUGGUACAUGUUCUUCACAUAACAUAUUCACAGAUUCAUUUGUUCUAAUUAUACCACAUGAAAACUAGAGGUCGAAUUAACUCUCUUGUGGAAAUUAACUAUAGGCCAAGAAGGUCAAAUGACAUGUAGUCAUAUAAACGCAUUUUCAUUUUUGUCUUCCAUGUUGUUCUUAAACUGUCUGAGAAUAGUAUUCUCUCAUCACUGUGCUUGCAUCUGUUUAGUUUUCAUUAACAUAUCCUAGGCAUUAAAUGUUACAUGAAUUGUCUGCUGAUGCUGUGUCCUGAGGUGAUUGAUGCUUUUGGCAGGGAGCCUGUAAGUGAAUCGGUAUACAAAUAUAUAAAGAAUGGAAUGUAUGAGCUCAGUUCUGUUUUCUGUUAUGCCCAAAUGACCUGACAGAUUCCAGGGUUUCAGACACAGAUCAUCUUGAAGAUGUUCUUUGACUCUAUGUCUGCUAUUUUGGAGAAAUCUGCAUAUAUGAAUAUCAUAUAUAUAUCAAAACGCAUCAGAAAAUUGAAUGCACUCAUCUUGGAGAAAAAGGAAUAACAAGUUUCAGAGGACUGUCUUAAGAAAGAAGGUGAUGAUAGAUGCUGCACUUAACUUUUUUAAAGAGGUUCCCUAGAGACAGCUCAGUAAAACUCCAGCAGCCUUAUAUAGGGAAUGCCCUAGAAAUACAUUUUUAAAAUCUAUGUACCAAGUAUGCAGCAGUUUUACAUAACAAUAUGACUCAUAAUGAAUAUACUCUUUAAAGGAUGCUCCUAAACUGAGCCUCCUUAUUCAAGAGUUAUGCUUGCCAAAUCAUUCAGUUUGAACUUACUUCACAAUUAAUGACCUAAUUUGUAGCACUAUGGGCACUUGCCCUGCAAUAAUCUUACUUUUACUCAGGUCUCCUAAGAAGGAUGACAGCAGGAGUUAUUCUGACAAACUGCCAAAACAAUACUGCAAAGCUUUCAGAAGUUUUAAUUUUAAGUUGAUGAGAUCUAUGGUAUUAGAUGUAACGGUCUGGUCCCAUGAACACUGCAAUGACAAUAAUGCACUGAUGAUCAAGCCCAGAUCUUGCAAUGAGUAAAUGAUCAUAAGAAGUAUUCAAACAAAUUGCAGAUGUCAUCGUCCCCUGUUGAGCACUGAAAAACAUUUUGGAAAUAGAAGAAAGACGACCAGAUUUUGAGGCCUGAGUUUACUUUUAAAUGUUUUUUUCAUGCAGUUGGAGAUCUUUUGCUUUUGCAAACAAUCACUGACACAGCGUUACUGCCAUCAACUACUGAGCUGGCAAGUGUUACCAAAUAUUAUAAUUUCUGAUGGCAGUUCUUGCUGUUUCC